UACGUAGGGUGCGAGCGUUGUCCGGAAUUAUUGGGCGUAAAGGGCUCGUAGGCGGUUUGUCGCGUCGGGAGUGAAAACCUUGGGCUUAACUCAGGGCUUGCUUUCGAUACGGGCAGACUAGAGGUAUGCAGGGGAGAACGGAAUUCCUGGUGUGGCGGUGAAAUGCGCAGAUAUCAGGAGGAACACCGGUGGCGAAGGCGAUUCUCUGGGCAUGAUCUGACGCUGAGGAGCGAAAGUGUGGGGAGCGAACAGG
Molecule: ribosomal RNA, 253 nt
Filed under: uncultured bacterium
Lineage: Bacteria
Description: partial 16S ribosomal RNA
Rfam family: Bacterial small subunit ribosomal RNA
Source: RNAcentral